UGAGCGGCGGACGGGUGAGUAACGCGUGGGUAACCUACCUCAUACAGGGGGAUAACAGUUGGAAACGGCUGCUAAUACCGCAUAAGCGCACAGUACCGCAUGGUACCGUGUGAAAAACUCCGGUGGUAUGAGAUGGACCCGCGUCUGAUUAGCUAGUUGGUGGGGUAACGGCCUACCAAGGCGACGAUCAGUAGCCGACCUGAGAGGGUGACCGGCCACAUUGGGACUGAGACACGGCCCAA
This 242-nucleotide ribosomal RNA is filed under the name uncultured bacterium. RNAcentral's name for it is "partial 16S ribosomal RNA". It matches the Rfam family "Bacterial small subunit ribosomal RNA", at positions 92 to 334 of the family's 1533-position model. The record is from RNAcentral.